Long non-coding RNA from Lynx canadensis (Canada lynx), 94 nucleotides. RefSeq lists it as uncharacterized. The record is from RefSeq and is a predicted model, not a curated record. The transcript is spliced from 2 exons. Lineage: Eukaryota; Metazoa; Chordata; Mammalia; Carnivora; Felidae.
UGAAAUAAGCCAUACAGAGAAAGACAGAUACCAUAUGGUUUCACUCUUAUGUGGAUCUUGAGAAACUUAACAGAAGACCAUGGGGGAAGGGAAG